Molecule: ribosomal RNA, 75 nt
Filed under: Yersinia enterocolitica
Lineage: Bacteria; Pseudomonadati; Pseudomonadota; Gammaproteobacteria; Enterobacterales; Yersiniaceae
Also listed under: 1 other name
Source: RNAcentral
CCUGGCGGCCAUAGCGCGGUGGUCCCACCUGAUCCCAUGCCGAACUCAGAAGUGAAACGCCGUAGCGCCGAUGGU